UAUGCUUUAAGGUAUUGAUUAUAUGUGCAAGCUGCUUGUAGGUUCAUGUUUGAAUGGGUGAAAAAAAUAGCUUGAUUUUGACCAUUUUCUUAUCCACACGGCCUAAGACACGGGCAUGUGUCUCAGUCGUGUGUGACACACAGCCAUGUGACAUGGUCGUGUGUCCUCUGUUGGUUUUAAAGGUUUCUUUUCGAAAGUUACAUGGCCUAGCACAUGGCCUGGCACACGGGCAUGUGGCUUGGCCCG
Molecule: long non-coding RNA, 246 nt
Filed under: Gossypium barbadense (sea-island cotton)
Lineage: Eukaryota; Viridiplantae; Streptophyta; Magnoliopsida; Malvales; Malvaceae
Description: long non-coding RNA (GBAR_LNC022320)
Source: RNAcentral